GUGCCAGCCGCCGCGGUAAUACGGAGGAUGCAAGCGUUAUCCGGAUUUAUUGGGUUUAAAGGGUGCGUAGGCUGUUUGUCAAGUCAGGGGUGAAAUACCUGAGCCUAACUCAGGAACUGCCUUUGAUACUGGCAGGCUGGAAUACGGAUGCCGUGGGAGGAAUGAGUAGUGUAGCGGUGAAAUGCAUAGAUAUUACUCAGAACACCGAUUGCGAAGGCAUCUCACGAAUCCGUCAUUGACGCUGAGGCACGAAAGCGUGGGGAUCAAACAGGAUUAGAUACCCUGGUAGUCCACGCAGUAAACGAUGAUAACUAACCGUCGGCGAUAUAGUGUCGGUGGCCAAGCGAAAGCGAUAAGUUAUCCACCUGGGGAGUACGUUCGCAAGAAUGAAACUCAAAGGAAUUGACGGGGGCCCGCACAAGCGGAGGAACAUGUGGUUUAAUUCGAUGAUACGCGAGGAACCUUACCCGGGCUCGAACGGCAAGUGAAGAGAUCCAGAGAUGGUGACGCCCUUCGGGGCACUUGUCGAGGUGCUGCAUGGUUGUCGUCAGCUCGUGUCGUGAGAUGUUGGCUCAAGUGCCAUAACGAGCGCAACCCUUGCUGCUAGUUACCAGCAUUUCGGAUGGGGACUCUAGCAGGACUGCCACCGUAAGGUGUGAGGAAGGCGGGGAUGACGUCAAAUCAGCACGGCCCUUACGUCCGGGGCGACACACGUGUUACAAUGGUGACUACAGAGGGAUGCCACCUGGCGACAGGGAGCGAAUCUCAAAAAGUCAUCUCAGUUCGGAUCGAAGUCUGCAACCCGAUUCGUGAAGCUGGAUUCGCUAGUAAUCGCGCAUCAGCCAUGGCGCGGUGAAUACGUUCCCGGGCCUUGUACACACCGCCCGU
RNAcentral lists this ribosomal RNA (888 nucleotides) under uncultured rumen bacterium. RNAcentral describes it as "bacterial SSU rRNA". It matches the Rfam family "Bacterial small subunit ribosomal RNA", at positions 505 to 1397 of the family's 1533-position model. The record is from RNAcentral.